UGUUAGUUAUGAAGCAAGAAGACCUCCAUUGCUGUAUGAGUAUUCAAGGAGGAAGAAAAGCAGUCAGCAGAAGAUGACAAAUGAGCAGAGUGACGUGGCACGGGAGGGCACUUGAGUAGUACGGUUACGAGGAGGAAGGGAAUAAGGAAUAAAGAGGUGAGCUGGAGGUUGGCACCAACGGCCCACGUGAUAUGUUUGCUACCUAGGAACCUUUUAUUUAUAUGCGAGUAUCAUGUAUUGAGAGAGCAUCUAGAGAUUGGAUCAAACUUGUAUGAGGGAGAGAGAGACCCUAAGAUACUCUCUGGCUUGUAUUUCGAUCCGUUAAACACAUCAAUACAACUUAUCUUUCUUUCUAAGAGUAUCUCAUAACAACUUGGUAUCAGAGCCUUCUUACUUUACUGGGAAUCGAUGGCUCCAGGGAAGAAAGCUGAGCUUGACGCUACGUUGGAGAACCUGAGAGAUGAGGUGAACAAGAUCGGUGUUGUGGAACGAUCGAUGGAAGAUCUCAAGGAGAGUGUGAUGGAGAUCCGAAACCGAAUGAGUGUGAUGGAGCGGUUGGAGAAACGUUUGGAUGAGACGGAAGAGACGAGAAAGAGGGAGUUUGCGACGUUGUUCCAAGCAACGUUGCAAAGUCACAUGGAGGAAGAGAUCUCGCCUCCGAUAAGACGAUCCGGCAAACAGAUCGCUUCUGAAGAGGAGGGAAGCGGUCUAUUUCGCGGCGGGACGUCGGGGGUAAGGUCUGAGUCUGUUACGAGGGUCGGAGAAGUGAGACGAGAGGUGGAGUGUGAAGAACGCAACCGAUCGUUGAGCCGAAACGACCAACAGUGGCAACAUAACGAGCUGGGGCCCGAUGACUUGCCAAGGAAGUUGAAGAUCCCACUCUUUGAUGGAGAAAACGCGGAGAGUUGGGUCUUGCGGGUGGAGCAGUAUUUCGAACUGGGCGAUUUUCCGGAGGAACGGAAGAUGAGGGUGGUCAGAAUGUGUUUUGACGGCGAGGCGUUGAUGUGGUAUCGUUGGGAACGAGAUCGUAACCCAUUCGUGAGCUGGGAUCAGAUGAGAUACAGAGUUCUGGAGCAGUUCUCUACUAAUCAUGAGAUCACGGCACGAGAGCGGUUGAUGACGUUGAAGCAGGUGGGGACGGUGAGAGAGUACAUAAAGGAUUUCAUCUCGCUCGCGUCGAACGCUCCAGAGCUUUCCGAUGCUGUGUUGGAGACGGCAUUCAUGAUUGGGUUAAAACCACAGAUCAAGGCCGGCGUGAAGCUGAUGGAGCCGCGGAACUUAAGAAAGAUGAUGAGUGUAGCAAAAUUGGUGGAGGAAUGGGUGAAUUACGGUGACCCAUCGCCGUCGUCGCAAACCGGAAAGGGGGUUAAGGGAGGGGGUCAAACGGGGUCGUCUCCAUUUCCGUCACGAAGUGGGCCUAGUUUGGGAAAUGGGCCUGGGUCUACUAACAAUCAGCGGCCUAAAACAUUUCCAGGCCAGGAGAAGACCGUUGGGGCAGAGAAGAAACCGACGACCCAGAACCCUAACUUCAAUGGGCGGAAUCGAGCUCCGUUCCGGCGUCUCUCUCCGGCGGAGUACGCGAGGUAUAAGGCAGAGGGGUUGUGCUUCCAGUGUGGGGAGAAGUCACACGCGAGGCGCGACUGCCCUAAUAAGGAGUUGAUGGUACUGGUGGUGCAGGAGGAUGAAGGCGAGGAGGCGGAGCAGUUUGAGGAAGAUGAGAAAGACGAGGAGGAGGCGGUGGAAUUCGCAGAAUGCGCCGCUCUAUCCACAAAAUCGGCAAUGGGAAUCUCAUCUCCCAAGACAAUCAAGUUGCGCGGUUCAGUGGGAGAGGCUGAGGCGGUGGUACUCAUUGACAGCGGGGCUACCCACAAUUUUAUCGAUUGCCGGCUGAUGCAAAAGUUAGGGCUCGUGGCGGAGGAAACCCAGAGUUAUGGAGUGAUCACGGGGUCGGGAAAGCCGGUCAGGGGAGGAGGCAUUUGUAGAAACGUAACACUGACAAUGCAAGGCUACUCGAUUACGUCUGAUUUCCUUCCCUUAGAGCUCAACAACGUCGAUAUAAUACUGGGCAUUCAGUGGCUCGAGACGCUUGGAGAAACAAGAGUUAACUGGAAGCUGCAGACUCUGAAAAUUCCAGUGGAGGGUAGAUUGGUGUCGCUUCAAGGGGUUCCAAACUUGUGUAGCUCGGAGGUGUCGUGCAAAGCUAUGCAAAGGUUGCUGGAACAAGCUGAAGUGAGUGUAGUGGUCGAAUGUCGAGAAGUAGUGGCGGAGUUGAAAGGGAAGGCGGAGUAUUCCGGACAAAUGCAGGGACUACUGUCUCAAUUCCAACAAGUGUUCCAAGAGCCGCAAGGCUUACCACCAACUAGAGGGAGGGAGCAUGCGAUCAACCUGGUUCAGGGGAGUAAUCCGGUGAGUGUGAGGCCCUUCCGCUAUCCUCACGCUCAGAAGGAGGAGAUUGAGAAGCAAGUGACUACGAUGCUGAAGGCGGGAAUUAUCCAAGAAAGCAUCAGUCCGUUCUCCAGUCCGGUAUUACUAGUCAAAAAAAAGGAUGGCAGUUGGCGCUUCUGUGUAGACUAUCGGUCUCUCAACAAGGUUACGGUAUUGGACAGUUACCCGAUACCAAUGAUAGACCAGCUAUUGGAUGAGUUGCGUGGGGCGAGGGUGUUUUCCAAGCUAGACUUACGCUCAGGAUAUCAUCAGAUACGGGUCAAGACUGACGAUAUCCCGAAGACGGCCUUUCGUACUCACGACGGGCACUACGAGUUCCUUGUAAUGCCGUUUGGGCUGUCUAACGCACCCGCCACGUUCCAGUCUCUUAUGAAUGAGAUAUUUCGGCCUUAUCUAAGGAGAUUUGUGCUGGUGUUCUUCGAUGACAUACUGGUCUUCAGUAGGAAUCAACAAGAACAUAUGGAGCAUGUGAGGGUUGUCUUGGAAACGCUUCAACAGCACCGGCUAUACGCUAAUUUGAAGAAAUGUGAGUUUGGCUGCACUAGCAUCGAGUACUUGGGCCAUGUUAUUUCGGCGGAGGGGGUGGCAGCUGAUAAACGCAAGGUGGAGGCGAUGACAGACUGGCCAGUGCCUCGCAGUGUGAAGGAACUGAGAGGGUUUUUGGGGCUCACGGGGUAUUACCGAAAAUUUGUGAAGGACUAUGGAAUCAUUGCUAGACCCUUGACGGAGCUACUUAAAAAGGAUCGUUUUGGAUGGAGCGUAGUGGCAGAGGUGGCGUUCUCUGCGUUGAAGGAAGCUAUGUCAACGGUACCAGUUCUGGCCUUACCAGACUUCCAGGAGCAGUUUGUCGUGGAGUCAGAUGCAUCAGGCAAGGGACUGGGAGCUGUACUCAUGCAGAACCAGAGACCUAUAGCGUACUAUAGCCAAGCUCUGUCAGAGAGACAGCAGCUCAAGUCAGUAUAUGAACGUGAGCUGAUGGCCAUAGUGUUCGCAAUUCAGAAGUGGCGACACUAUCUACUAGGGAGAAAAUUCCUUGUUCGAACAGACCAGAAGAGCCUCAAGUUUCUGUUGGAACAACGCGAGAUCAACUUGGAAUAUCAAAAGUGGUUAACGAAGCUCCUAGGCUUCGACUUUGAUAUACAGUACAAACCUGGGUUGGAGAAUAAAGCAGCGGAUGCUCUAUCUAGAAGAGGUGUAGCAGCAGAGUUGUUGGCACUAUCAGUUCCUACGGCUAUUCAGUUUCAAGAUAUCGAGAAGGAGUUGGCUCUAGAUCCAAUACUACAGAAGCUGAAAGAGGAGAUUGUAGCUAACAAGGGGGAACAUAAGGAGUAUGAAGUCGUACAAGGGAGGUUGAUGCGUCGGGGAAAACUGGUGCUACCUAAGGACUCCCCACUGAUUGGGAUAAUUAUGAGGGAACUCCAUGAUGGGCUCAUGGGAGGUCACGGAGGGGUGCAACGCACGCAGAAGGAAGUCAGUGACAUGUUUUAUUGGGUGGGAAUGAUGAGUGACAUAAGGAAGUAUGUAGCCGCAUGUUCAGUCUGUCAGCGGCACAAGUACUCAACGUUGGCACCAGGAGGACUGCUGCAACCACUAGCUAUUCCAGAAGCAGUUUGGGAGGAUAUUGCUAUGGAUUUCGUGGAAGGGCUGCCCAGAUCAGAAGGGUUUAAUGCGAUACUAGUAGUCAUUGAUCGACUUUCUAAGUAUGCGCAUUUCAUCAAGCUGCGACAUCCUUUCACCGCAACAGAAGUAGCAUUAUUGUUUGUGCAAGAAGUGGUGAAGCUACACGGGUUUCCGAAAACCAUCGUCUCAGACCGGGAUAAGGUAUUCACCAGUCAGUUCUGGAAGGAGCUGUUUCGACUAGCAGGGACGUCGUUAUGUAUGAGCACAGCUUAUCAUCCGCAGACUGACGGCCAAACAGAGGUGACAAACAGGGGCUUAGAAACAUACCUUCGAUGCUACACGAGUGACAAACCCAAGGCAUGGGCAAAGUUUUUACCGUGGGCGGAACUUUGUUAUAACUCAUCAUUUCACUCAGCUAUCAAGAUGACUCCGUUCAAAGCAGUCUAUGGUCGUGAUCCUCCAUUUCUUCUCAAGUAUGAGCAAGGAUCGACCACAAACGCGGACCUUGAGAGUAAACUGAUUGAGCGAGAUGAUAUGUUAUCUCUGCUACGGGAGCACAUUGGUCACGCUCAGCAAGUGAUGAAGCGACAGGUUGAUGGGCACCGCAGGGAGGUAGUGUUUGAGGUCGGAGAUAAGGUGUAUCUGAAGCUCAGGCCUUACCGUCAACAGACACUGGCAAGAAGAGCUAAUGAGAAACUGUCAGCGCGUUUUUACGGACCAUAUGAGAUCACAGCAAGAGUGGGUAAGGUCGCUUAUCGUCUUAAGCUACCGGAGGAGGCUAAAAUUCAUCCUACUUUUCACGUCUCUCAGUUGAAAAAAGCCAUUGGAGAGGACAACCCAGUUGCUCCACUACCAUCUCAGUUGACCACGGAAGGGGUGUUGGUGGCUCAACCAGAAAAGGUAUUGGGAACACGGGUGAGCCCUCUGACGGGCCAAGAUGAGUUGCUGAUUCAGUGGAAAGGUCUGCCUGAGUAUGAGAGUUCGUGGGAGUGGAAGAAAGUGAUACAGGGACAGUUUCCGGAGUUUGACCUUGAGGACAAGGUCAAUUUCGCAGAAGGGAGUAAUGUUAGUUAUGAAGCAAGAAGACCUCCAUUGCUGUAUGAGUAUUCAAGGAGGAAGAAAAGCAGUCAGCAGAAGAUGACAAAUGAGCAGAGUGACGUGGCACGGGAGGGCACUUGAGUAGUACGGUUACGAGGAGGAAGGGAAUAAGGAAUAAAGAGGUGAGCUGGAGGUUGGCACCAACGGCCCACGUGAUAUGUUUGCUACCUAGGAACCUUUUAUUUAUAUGCGAGUAUCAUGUAUUGAGAGAGCAUCUAGAGAUUGGAUCAAACUUGUAUGAGGGAGAGAGAGACCCUAAGAUACUCUCUGGCUUGUAUUUCGAUCCGUUAAACACAUCAAUACAACUUAUCUUUCUUUCUAAGAGUAUCUCAUAACAAGGAGUUCUGAUAGCCGACAACUCAGCCUCUUCCUUCUCAACUAAAGCAUCCAAGUCUGAACAUUUUUGCUUCAGUUCAAGUAAAUUAUCCUCCAUCUCUUGGAGCCUGACCAAACUGGACUGCUCUUUGCCCUUGUUUGCUUUUACCAAGUCCAGUUUCUUCUCCAACCAAGCCACAUUAAAAUGCACAGAUUUCAAGUAUGCAAGUGCAGUGUCUGCUCCCAAAAUAUCAUUACUGGAGAGCUC
RNAcentral lists this long non-coding RNA (5746 nucleotides) under Brassica rapa (field mustard). Its description in RNAcentral is "long non-coding RNA (BRAP_LNC005364)". The record is from RNAcentral. Lineage: Eukaryota; Viridiplantae; Streptophyta; Magnoliopsida; Brassicales; Brassicaceae.